UUUGCGAUAGAAUGGCUGAGAUUAGGCGGUAAAUUGUAAAUUUAUUAACGGAAAAUAAAUUCCUUCUGUCA
This 71-nucleotide transfer RNA is filed under the name Parachauliodes yanbaru. RNAcentral describes it as "tRNA-Tyr". It matches the Rfam family "tRNA". From Rfam's summary of the family: Transfer RNA (tRNA) molecules are approximately 80 nucleotides in length. Their secondary structure includes four short double-helical elements and three loops (D, anti-codon, and T loops). Lineage: Eukaryota; Metazoa; Arthropoda; Insecta; Megaloptera; Corydalidae. The record is from RNAcentral.